GAUGAACGCUGGCGGCGUGCCUAAUACAUGCAAGUCGAGCGAACGGACGAGAAGCUUGCUUCUCUGAUGUUAGCGGCGGACGGGUGAGUAACACGUGGAUAACCUACCUAUAAGACUGGGAUAACUUCGGGAAACCGGAGCUAAUACCGGAUAAUAUUUUGAACCGCAUGGUUCAAAAGUGAAAGACGGUCUUGCUGUCACUUAUAGAUGGAUCCGCGCUGCAUUAGCUAGUUGGUAAGGUAACGGCUUACCAAGGCAACGAUGCAUAGCCGACCUGAGAGGGUGAUCGGCCACACUGGAACUGAGACACGGUCCAGACUCCUACGGGAGGCAGCAGUAGGGAAGCUUCCGCAAUGGGCGAAAGCCUGACGGAGCAACGCCGCGUGAGUGAUGAAGGGCUUCGGAUCGUAAAACUCUGUUAUUAGGGAAGAACAUAUGUGUAAGUAACUGUGCACAUCUUGACGGUACCUAAGCAGAAAGCCACGGCUAACUACGU
Molecule: ribosomal RNA, 496 nt
Filed under: uncultured bacterium
Lineage: Bacteria
Description: partial 16S ribosomal RNA
Rfam family: Bacterial small subunit ribosomal RNA
Source: RNAcentral